This 115-nucleotide ribosomal RNA is filed under the name Salvia splendens (bonfire salvia). Lineage: Eukaryota; Viridiplantae; Streptophyta; Magnoliopsida; Lamiales; Lamiaceae. The record is from RNAcentral.
GCGAUCAUACCAGCACUAAUGCACCGGAUCCCAUCAGAACUCCAAAGUUAAGCGUGCUUGUCCAAGAGUAGUACUAGGAUGUGUGACCCCCUGGGAAGUCCUCAUGUUGCACCCC